UUAAAUUUAGUCUGUUAUAGUCUAUAUUCAUGCUAUGGGUGGGCAGCAGUAUGUGUUGGAGUACCUUUUUUGGUAGUAUUCUGAUCUAUACUGGUGACAAAGCCCUCAAAUGUUUCAUGAAUGGCAACUAACCAGGGUUGCCAACCUAUUGGACAAUCGGAUGGAUACACAAUGUUUUUGGAAGAUGAAGAUGUCAUUUGACGUAUGGAGUCUUUGAAAUGGUUGGAGGGGGGACUUGUCCCCAGCAAGAAUCAAAACCGAUUAAAUACCCUGACCCCAGUCCUACUUCUCCUGUUGUGCCACAGUCUCGCUACCGUCUUUUCAGGAACAGUGAAAGACAACUUGUCGAGCGAUCUUUGCUUACUCUCCAGGCCAGUGACUUCUACUGGGGUCCUCUCCCCACAGCUGAGGCCCAUUCCAUGCUGGCAAAAGAGACAGUCGGCACGUUCCUUGUACGUGACAGCUCUCAGGGAAAUCACCUUUUCAGCGUCAGUAUCAAGAUGGAAUCUGGUCCGGUUAGCGUGCGGGUCCUGUUUUUUAAAGGACGGUUUUGGUUGAGGGAACUCUUUUCAGAUUGCCCAGUGAAACUUCUAGAGCAAGCAGUUGAGAUGUCCAAGAAGAAUCCUCUGUUUUGCCACAAUGGGAUUAAACUGGUACUGACAAAGCCACUGCGCAGAACACGAGUCCUCAGUUUGCAGCAGCUUUGCCGUCAAUGCAUUGUGAGACAAUAUGGAACAGAGGAAUUAUCCAGACUUUCUAUUCAGCCUGCACUCCGGAACUAUAUUGAAGAAUUUCCUUUCAAGAUAUGAAGAACCGGAAAGAGAAUGACAGAAAAACCUUUAUGGACAAUGCGAGACAGCUGUUCCCGGGACAUCAAUCAUCAUUUGGCCUAGGAUCACUUUCGAUACAUGCAUUUUACAAGUGUACCCUAUGAACACGUCUGAGUGUGUAAGGACCUGCACAAGGAUGCACACAGUGAUGUCAGUCAUAUUCAAAUACAUUAUUUUUACUUCCCUCGUUAUUGGCCGUAUCAGUUCUACAAUCCAGCUGGCCAACUCUACAAGGCAAAACCGGACAUUAGAAGGAAUGGAAACACCACAUUGCUAAGCUAGAGAAAAUACACUCUGUUCACACUACAUGCACCACUUGGAGGCUCGAUAGCUGCUUUAAUGUGCCCAUGGGGACUUGGACAGUCCACCUGAUAUGGCCCUAAAAAUGUCUUUAAUCCAAAAGCUGCUUCAGCUCACUUGUGUAACACCGUGCACAGAGCAAGUGCGGGACGACACCAGAAUAGUCAAACAAAUCAAAGGCAAGUCCAGCGCAGUUUCAUGCACACAGAAAACUUUCACUUUUUUAGUUCUUAAAAAGGAUGCAGGACAUGAUACAGCAGAAACAUCCAGUGGUGCGUUUCAGACGAUGUAGGAAGUGAUAGAGCAGACACA
This is a long non-coding RNA of Hyla sarda, 1442 nucleotides long. RefSeq lists it as uncharacterized. The transcript has 3 exons. NCBI's taxonomy places the organism in Eukaryota, Metazoa, Chordata, Amphibia, Anura, Hylidae. The record is from RefSeq and is a predicted model, not a curated record.